UACGAGGGGGGCAAGCGUUGUUCGGAAUUAUUGGGCGUAAGGGGGUGCGUAGGCGGUCUGAUAAGUCAUCUGUGAAAUCUAUGGGCUCAACCCAUAGUCUGCAGGCGAAACUGUCGGGCUUGAGUAUGGGAGAGGUGAGUGGAAUUUCCGGUGUAGCGGUGAAAUGCGUAGAUAUCGGAAGGAACACCUGUGGCGAAAGCGGCUCACUGGACCAUUACUGACGCUGAUGCACGAAAGCUAGGGGAGCAAACAGG
This 254-nucleotide ribosomal RNA is filed under the name uncultured bacterium. Its description in RNAcentral is "partial 16S ribosomal RNA". It matches the Rfam family "Bacterial small subunit ribosomal RNA", at positions 524 to 776 of the family's 1533-position model. The record is from RNAcentral.